This 385-nucleotide ribosomal RNA is filed under the name Opisthotropis kuatunensis (Chinese mountain keelback). RNAcentral's name for it is "partial 12S ribosomal RNA". The record is from RNAcentral. Lineage: Eukaryota; Metazoa; Chordata; Lepidosauria; Squamata; Natricidae.
ACAAUAAAAUAACCAAUUGUUCGCCAAACAACUACGAGUAAAAACUUAAAACUUAAAAGACUUGACGGUACUUCACACCACCCUAGAGGAGCCUGUCUAAUAACCGAUACUCCACGAUUAACCCAACCCCCCCUAGCCAAACAGUCUAUAUACCGCCAUCGCCAGCUUACCUUGUGAAAGAAACAAAGUAAACACAACAGCACCACUAAUACGAUAGGUCGAGGUGUAACUAAUGGGCGGGAAAAAGAUGGGCUACAUUUUCUAACACAGAAAACACGAAUAGACUAUGAAAAUAGAAACCGAAGGCGGAUUUAGAAGUAUGAUAAGGACAAAAUACUUAACCGAAAUAAAAGCAAUGAAGUGCGUACACACCGCCCGUCAUCCC